This 497-nucleotide ribosomal RNA is filed under the name uncultured bacterium. RNAcentral describes it as "partial 16S ribosomal RNA". It matches the Rfam family "Bacterial small subunit ribosomal RNA", at positions 28 to 507 of the family's 1533-position model. The record is from RNAcentral.
GAUGAACGCUGGCGGCGUGCCUAAUACAUGCAAGUCGAGCGAACAGAUGAGGAGCUUGCUCCUAUGACGUUAGCGGCGGACGGGUGAGUAACACGUGGAUAACCUACCUAUAAGACUGGGAUAACUUCGGGAAACCGGAGAUAAUACCGGAUAAUAUAUUGAACCGCAUGGUUCAAUAGUGAAAGACGGUUUUGCUGUCACUUAUAGAUGGAUCCGCGCCGCAUUAGCUAGUUGGUAAGGUAACGGCUUACCAAGGCAACGAUGAGUAGCCGACCUGAGAGGGUGAACCGCCACACUGGGACUUGAACACGGUCCAGACUCCUACGGGAGGCAGCAGGAGGGAAUCUUCCGAAAAGGGCGAAAACCUUACGGAGCAACGCCGCGGGAGUGAUAAAAGUUUUCGGAUCGGUAAACUCUGUUAAUAGGGAAGAACAAAUAUUAAAGUAACUAUUCACGGCUUGACGGUACCUAAUCAGAAAGCCACGGCUAACUACGUU